GCUUGCACUGGUGGAUUAGUGGCGAACGGGUGAGUAACACGUGAGUAACCUGCCCCUGACUUCGGGAUAAGCCCGGGAAACUGGGUCUAAUACCGGAUAUGACUUCCUGCUGCAUGGCAGGGGGUGGAAAGAUUUAUCGGUUGGGGAUGGACUCGCGGCCUAUCAGCUUGUUGGUGAGGUAAUGGCUCACCAAGGCGACGACGGGUAGCCGGCCUGAGAGGGUGACCGGCCACACUGGGACUGAGACACGGCCCAGACUCCUACGGGAGGCAGCAGUGGGGAAUAUUGCACAAUGGGCGAAAGCCUGAUGCAGCGACGCCGCGUGAGGGAUGACGGCCUUCGGGUUGUAAACCUCUUUCAGUAGGGAAGAAGCCCCUUUUGGGGGGAGAGGGCUUUUGCAAAAAACGCCCGGGAAAUAUACGUCCCCACCCCCGGGGAAAUACAUGGGGCGCACGCUUUCCCGAAAUUUUUGGGGCGUAAAGAUCUCAUAGGGGUUUUGUCGCCUCUGCCGAAAAACCCAGAGUCUCACCCUCAUAUCUGCGGGGGGCAGGGGCACACUAGAGUGAUGUG
This 570-nucleotide ribosomal RNA is filed under the name Arthrobacter sp. RNAcentral's name for it is "bacterial SSU rRNA". It matches the Rfam family "Bacterial small subunit ribosomal RNA", at positions 78 to 653 of the family's 1533-position model. The record is from RNAcentral. Lineage: Bacteria; Bacillati; Actinomycetota; Actinomycetes; Micrococcales; Micrococcaceae.